This is an unclassified non-coding RNA of Cavia aperea (Brazilian guinea pig), 211 nucleotides long. Its record names the gene 7SK. It matches the Rfam family "7SK RNA". From Rfam's summary of the family: 7SK was discovered as an abundant small nuclear RNA in the mid-70s but a possible function has only recently been suggested. Two independent studies have found that 7SK RNA binds the CDK9/cyclin T complex (known as elongation factor P-TEFb). P-TEFb activates transcription by phosphorylating the C-terminal domain of RNA polymerase II. The record is from Ensembl. NCBI's taxonomy places the organism in Eukaryota, Metazoa, Chordata, Mammalia, Rodentia, Caviidae.
GGGCUGGGCAGUGUCUCCUCCUUCCUCCCUCACUGCUCCCUGUGUGUCCUCCCAAAGCUGCAGGCUCGGGUUGGGGAAGAGGACCACCUCCUGGUCAAGGGUAUACGAAUAGCUGCACUGCUCCUAACAAGCUCUCCAAGUGACCUGGAAGCCGGGCAUCAUUGCAUUGCUUAACAGCAGCACAGAUUAUAUGAGAUACAUUUUUGACUGC